AGGCAGACUCUUAAUGACUGAGCCACCCAGGCGCCCAUGGGUCGUUAUUUUUAUCGUGUUUCCACUUACCUUAGCUUUUGAUCAUUGUAGCAGGAAGAUGGGUCUUACAGAAUAGCAGUGGAUUAUUAUAAAUUUAAUCAAGUAGCAUCUCUAAUUGUAUCUGCUCUUCUAGAGUAUGCAGACAUCAAAAUCCCUAUCUUCAUGUUCCUUCUGUUCAAUUUCCUGGAUCUGUACAAAAACCUACUCAAUGGAUCCCUUAAAAACGCCAUCUCAUAUCUCGCUGAUCCUCCAUAUGACAAAAAGAAGCAUGUUACACUAGAUACCUUGG
Long non-coding RNA from Lutra lutra (Eurasian river otter), 328 nucleotides. RefSeq lists it as uncharacterized. The record is from RefSeq and is a predicted model, not a curated record. NCBI's taxonomy places the organism in Eukaryota, Metazoa, Chordata, Mammalia, Carnivora, Mustelidae. The transcript has 2 exons.